ACCACAACCACUCCCUCCACCUCUCUUUUAAUCCCCAUCCGAGCCACAGAAACCCUAGCAUAUUUCCUCCCUCGCGCCGCCACCGUUCUCCUCUUCAUCUCCCUCGAUUUUUCUUCUUCUCUGUGAACCACCGAACAACACCACCACCUCCCCACCAUGGCGCCACCGCUACCGACGCUCCCUCGCCGAGCUGAUACCACCAGAAGAACGGCAUCAUCGUCCUCGUCUUCCCCCUGCAAGGAAUCGAACCGGAGCCCUCUAAAUCUCCGGCGAAUUCGCCGAUUCCGUCUUCAAGUCCGGCGAGCAAAUCUUCAAUUCCGGCGACGCCGGUGACCCCUUGGUGUCGGCUCCGCUACCUCAUGUUUCCCCAAGUCAGGGCGCACCUUCGACGCCCUGUACUUCGUCCCGGUUCGCCCGGGAGCUCCAGGUCCGUGCUCGACCAGUGACGUCCGCCAUGGCUGCCUCCGUGAGCUCCGCCUCUACCUCCUUCAUGUUGCUGCGAGCCCUCCUCUUGACACGAUCCGACCAGUAGCAUACUGAUCUGGCGCUGAGAGUUGGUUUACCUUGCGCAUGAGAUCUUCCUAAUCGUCAAUAUCAUAUCCGCCGACGGGCCUUGAUCCGGUGUCUCGCCGACUGGGCCUCAGCCCACGUGCGCCCCAGCUUCUUCGUCGCCCAGCGUGCGAUGGGCCUCUAUCCGUUGCUCAGCAUUUGCUUCUUCUCGGAUAGGAUCGCGAAGUGGUGCGGUGAGAUACGACAAGUUCUCCGGAUGUUCCUCGGCAAGCUUUAACAGGCAAGCAUUUCCCCUAUACUUCUGCCCCUGCAGAAGUCGCUCACCUAUUUUAUUUUGCCUUCUCCCUCAUGCUAUCCUUAUGUUGCGUUCUUGUCACGUGUCCCUUCCACUUGUUACCUCAAGCAGCCUAUAUUGCCUCCACCAACCUCCUACAGUUGUUGUUUGGUUUCGGGUCUGCCUUGCGAGUCGUAGUGCAUGCUAGUGCAGUUAUAUCUCGUUACCGUUACCGCUAUCUUAUCGGUUAUCUGUUGGGAAACAUGACACAUGGUUUAUGGAUAUAUCUGUUGAGGGUAUCAUGGUUACUUGUUAAUAGUUGUUAGCGGAGGCAUCGGUGGGUCAGCUGAUCGUUUUGUGACGGCUCACUUGUGUUUCUUUAAAGCUUAGGACCCGAGUUCCUGUUAUCUGUUCCGAGACUGAGCGCUCUAACCACACGUGGGUAUGCUUCUGGGUCUCCCCUCGACCACUGCCGGAAUCUACAGCUUUGUCCAGUUGCCACAACUAGUUUGCAAUGUUUUACCAUUUGUUGUUGCGUGCAUGCCAGCCUGUUACUUAUUUAUUUUGGGAAGCCCCUGGGUGCCUUGUAUCCCUUGUUUCUGGUAUGCACGUAUAGGUCGCGGAGCCGCUGCGAAGUGGUUUAUCGCCCCAGUGUGUGUUUAAACCACCUAGUACGCUGUCGCAAACAGCUAGGUCCGCUUCGGAGAUACGGCCGGACUUCGAUUCGGGUUCAACUUGGUUAGGUGGCUUCCUGGACAUUGUUGUCGUGAAGGAGAGUGCGAGUCGUUAUAUCCACCUGUCGCAAGUGGGUUGAUCGUGCGUGUGGGCACAUUUGGGCACCCCUGCAGGGUUAAAUCUUAUCGAUAAGCCGCGUCCGCGGUUAUGGACGACUUGGAGCUGUAUGACUCGACCAUAGACAACUUACACCUGUUGUUUCAAUCAUAAUAACUUGUGUAGUAAGUUAGCACAACUCUAAUAAUAAAUGGUUAAAACUUGACAACCGUGUGAGUGCCUUUGUAAGUACUUCCUUGCGAGGGGGGAACGCACCGGCUGUGUUAUGUUUGCAGAGUAUAGAACUGUUAGUUUGUGCGCUCUCUCACCUUCUCUGAUAGACGACUGUUGUAGAGUGUCUCUAUAGGUUUUUAGUGCUUGCGCGCUGCCGCUUAACCCCACCAUAUUGCCUAUGACGUUCCUCUUGCGUCCUCUAAGUCCCCUGCGUGCCUCAAGUACAAAGGACGACUGGUUGACGAAUGCUUAUACGUCUUGAAGUCUUGUUAAGUACGAACCCGUACUUAUUGCUGCUUCUACGGGAUAUAACC
Molecule: long non-coding RNA, 2103 nt
Organism: Lolium perenne
Lineage: Eukaryota; Viridiplantae; Streptophyta; Magnoliopsida; Poales; Poaceae
Source: RefSeq, a predicted model, not a curated record